Molecule: ribosomal RNA, 871 nt
Filed under: Pleurocordyceps agarica
Lineage: Eukaryota; Fungi; Ascomycota; Sordariomycetes; Hypocreales; Polycephalomycetaceae
Description: Polycephalomyces agaricus partial large subunit ribosomal RNA
Rfam family: Eukaryotic large subunit ribosomal RNA
Source: RNAcentral
AUAAGCGGAGGARAAGACAACAGGGAUUGCCCCAGUAACGGCGAGUGAAGCGGCAACAGCUCAAAUUUGAAAUCUGGCCCCCUCUACGGAGGCCCGAGUUGUAAUUUGCAGAGGAUGCUUCUGGCGCGGCGCCUUCCGAGUUCCCUGGAACGGGACGCCACAGAGGGUGAGAGCCCCGUCCGGUCGGACGCCUAGCCUAUGUGAAGCACCUUCGACGAGUCGGGUAGUUUGGGAAUGCUGCCCUAAAUGGGAGGUAUAUGUCUUCUAAAGCUAAAUACCGGCCAGAGACCGAUAGCGCACAAGUAGAGUGAUCGAAAGAUGAAAAGCACUUUGAAAAGAGGGUUAAACAGUACGUGAAAUUGUUGAAAGGGAAGCGCUCAUGACCAGACUUGGGCCCGGGGGAUCACCCGGCGUUCUUCGCCGGGGCACUUCGCCGGCUGCCCAGGCCAGCAUCAGUUCGUGGCGGGGGACAAAGGCUUCGGGAACGUGGCUCCCUACGGGGAGUGUUAUAGCCCGCUGCGCAAUGCCCUGCCGCGGACUGAGGUUCGCGCUUCCGCAAGGAUGCUGGCGUAAUGGUCAUCAGCGACCCGUCUUGAAACACGGACCAAGGAGUCGUCUUCGUAUGCGAGUGUUCGGGUGUCAAACCCCUACGCGUAAUGAAAGUGAACGCAGGUGAGAGCUUCGGCGCAUCACCGACCGAUCCUGAUGUUCUCGGAUGGAUUUGAGUCAAGAGCAUACGGGGCCGGACCCGAAAGAAGGUGAACUAUGCCUGUAUAGGGUGAAGCCAGAGGAAACUCUGGUGGAGGCUCGCAGCGGUUCUGACGUGCAAAUCGAUCGUCAAAUAUGGGCAUGGGGGCGAAAGACUAAUCGA